This 652-nucleotide ribosomal RNA is filed under the name uncultured Actinomycetes bacterium. RNAcentral describes it as "bacterial SSU rRNA". It matches the Rfam family "Bacterial small subunit ribosomal RNA", at positions 28 to 694 of the family's 1533-position model. Lineage: Bacteria; Bacillati; Actinomycetota; Actinomycetes. The record is from RNAcentral.
GACGAACGCUGGCGGCGUGCUUAACACAUGCAAGUCGAGCGGAAAGGCCCCGUUUGGGGUACUCGAGCGGCGAACGGGUGAGUAACACGUGAGUGACCUGCCCUGCGCUUUGGGAUAACCCUCGGAAACGGGGGCUAAUACCGGAUAUUCACAUGUGGCUGCAUGGUUGUGUGUGGAAAGAUUUUUCGGCGUGGGAUGGGCUCGCGGCCUAUCAGCUUGUUGGUGGGGUGAUGGCCUACCAAGGCGGUGACGGGUAGCCGGCCUGAGAGGGCGACCGGCCACACUGGGACUGAGACACGGCCCAGACUCCUACGGGAGGCAGCAGUGGGGAAUAUUGCACAAUGGGCGGAAGCCUGAUGCAGCGACGCCGUGUGAGGGAUGACGGCCUUCGGGUUGUAAACCUCUUUCAGCAGGGACGAAGCGGGAGUGACGGUACCUGCAGAAGAAGCGCCGGCCAACUACGUGCCAGCAGCCGCGGUAAGACGUAGGGCGCGGGCGUUGUCCGGAUUUAUUGGGCGUAAAGAGCUCGUAGGCGGCUUGUCGCGUCGGCUGUGAAAACCUGUGGCUCAACUGUGGGCUUGCAGCCGAUACGGGCGGGCUAGAGUUCGGUAGGGGAGACUGGAAUUCCUGGUGUAGCGGUGAAAUGAGCAGA